ACUUCAUGUUGCUGGCGUUGUUGGAAAAAUUGUACAAGGUGGAACAAAAAAAUGCGCAGUCUAAUAACUAAAGGUAUAUGAAAGGAUUAUAGCAUUAAAAUUGAGACACGAAAGGAACACAAUCAGCUAGAAGAACUCUCCCAUAAUGAAUACAAUGCUUUACGUAAGAUAGCACGAAUACAUGGGAAAAACUUCAAAAAACGUGACGAUCCUUCAUCGUCGUCAAUAACAAUAGAAAAAAUUAGAAAUAUUGUUCAUUAAAGGAAUCUGAAAAUGAAGCCUUUAUAAAUAUUUGUUCCCUCUGUAAAGAAUGAAAUUUUUACUAUGAAUAAAUGAAACGAUCAAUGGAUGUAAGAUAAAAAACUGUUAAUGGUGGUUUCAGCCUUCUGAAAUUCUCAAUGGUAAGUUCGUUGCAAGGCAGUCAUUAAACGGUUUCAACAUUCUUGAUAAGAUAAUCGAGUACAGCUGACGUGCCUCGAGACUAUUAGCUCCGAUGUUGGGAAUUUUUCGAGUUAUAAUUACAGAAUGAAUUCUCAAUCACGAAGAACAGUAAAAAUAAAAACCACAAAAUCAUCGA
Long non-coding RNA from Ceratina calcarata, 577 nucleotides. RefSeq lists it as uncharacterized. The transcript is spliced from 2 exons. The record is from RefSeq and is a predicted model, not a curated record. NCBI's taxonomy places the organism in Eukaryota, Metazoa, Arthropoda, Insecta, Hymenoptera, Apidae.